GUGGGGAAUAUUGGACAAUGGGCGCAAGCCUGAUCCAGCCAUGCCGCGUGUGUGAAGAAGGCCUUCGGGUUGUAAAGCCCUUUUGUCCGGGAAGAAAUCUUCCGAGCCAAUACCUCGGGAGGAUGACGGUACCGGAAGAAUAAGCACCGGCUACCUUCGUGCCAGCAGCCGCGGUAAUACGAAGGGUGCAAGCGUUACUCGGAAUUACUGGGCGUAAAGCGUGCGCAGGCGGCGUCGCAAGUCAGGCGUGAAAUCCCCGGGCUUAACCUGGGAAUGGCGCUUGAAACUACGAUGCUGGAGUAUGGCAGAGGGAGGUGGAAUUCCACGUGUAGCGGUGAAAUGCGUAGAUAUGUGGAGGAACACCGAUGGCGAAGGCAGCCUCCUGGGCCAAUACUGACGCUCAUGCACGAAAGCGUGGGGAGCAAA
This 426-nucleotide ribosomal RNA is filed under the name uncultured bacterium. RNAcentral's name for it is "bacterial SSU rRNA". It matches the Rfam family "Bacterial small subunit ribosomal RNA", at positions 354 to 772 of the family's 1533-position model. The record is from RNAcentral.